This 497-nucleotide ribosomal RNA is filed under the name uncultured bacterium. Its description in RNAcentral is "partial 16S ribosomal RNA". It matches the Rfam family "Bacterial small subunit ribosomal RNA", at positions 28 to 507 of the family's 1533-position model. The record is from RNAcentral.
GAUGAACGCUGGCGGCGUGCCUAAUACAUGCAAGUCGAGCGAACAGACGAGGAGCUUGCUCCUCUGACGUUAGCGGCGGACGGGUGAGUAACAUGUGGAUAACCUACCUAUAAGACUGGGAUAAUUUCGGGAAACCGGAGCUUAUACCGGAUAAUAUAUUGAACCGCAUGGUUCAAUAGUGAAAGACGGUUUUGCUGUCACUAAUAGAUGGUUCCGCGCCGCAUUAGCUAGUUGGUAAGGUAACGGCUUACCAAGGCAACGAUGCGUAGCCGACCUGAGAGGGUGAUCGGCCACACUGGAACUGAGACACGGUCCAGACUCCUACGGGAGGCAGCAGUAGGGAAUCUUCCGCAAUGGGCGAAAGCCUGACGGAGCAACGCCGCGUGAGUGAUGAAGGUCUUCGGCUCGUAAAACUCUGUUAUUAGGGAAGAACAAAUGUGUAAGUAACUAUGCACGUCUUGACGGUACCUAAUCAGAAAGCCACGGCUAACUACGUG